AGAAGAGGAACAAAUGUAAUACUGAACAAUAAAGCUUCAAUUAAUUUUUUAAAAAAAAAUUAGCAGAAGCAACUUUGAGAUUGCUAUAUAGCUGAAGACCCAGAGAAAAUUCCUAGUUGUAUCUUCCGUUUGUGGUCCAUGAUUCAGGACUACCUAGAGCCCCUUCCUGAAAAGGGAUGGAUGAAUGUGGCAGGAGAUGUAAGACAAAUAGUAGAAAGUUACCAGAGGCUUUGAAUCUACUUGUAUCUUCGGCACAUCCAUUACCUCCUCCAGUCCCUGGAGCUACCAUUCCUGUGGGGGAAAGCCCUCUGGACAAUGUGCUUCCCCCCAAAACGAACGAGAAUUGGAGGAGGUGACAGAGAGGGAACAACACAGGCGAAACUGGAAUGAUGGUGGUCUAAUGCAAGCCUUCGGGAAGUUUACUGUUACUCAUAAGCCUCUCCAGUUGCCUUCUAAACAAGCAAGAGCAAGCGUGGGAUCUCUGUCUCUACUCCAGUGGUCUCUGUAAGAGGCUACGCAGGCUGGGGAAGAUACUUUAGGAUUUAGUAGCUAAUCAUACUCUUAAAAUGCAAUUACUAAAACAAAAAGGAGGAGAAUAGGUUGUGCUUGUAUCUUUCUAGAAGGAGCAGUACAGCCAAUUUGGGUGCCAGAACAAUGGUCCCAGAGAGGCUCCUUGUCCCUCCAUUCGAGAGACUGAGAAUUGCCCCAAUGACAGCAAAGAGGAAGAAAAAGAAAAGGCUAGAUAAGCUGUAGAAAUAGAGAGGGAAAUAAGCGAUAGCAAAUAAGCUGUAGAAAUAGAGAGUAGGAAAUAAGUUGUAGAAAUAUAGAAAUAAGCUGUAGAAAAUAAGCAGUAGCAGCAUUAUAAAAGUACAAAUAAGCUGUAGAAAUAGAGAAAUAAGCAGGGGUUGAGACCCAGGAAGGUUUGGGCAGGGGCAGCGAAGCCUACCUAUAGUUCAUAGUUAGAGGUAGAGAAAUAAGUAGGAAAUAAGCUGUAGAAAGUAAGCGGUAGAAAGAAGCAAAAGAAAGUAAGUGGUAGACAUUAGAAAAUGAGCGGUGAGAAAUAUGCUCUGAAAAAUAAGUGGUAGGAAAUAAGCUGUAGAAAUAGAGAAAUAAGCUGUAGAAAUAAAAAAUAAGUUGCAGAAAUAGAGAAAUAAGUCUUAGAGAAAUAAGUGGUAGGAAACAAGCGUUCGGAAAUAGGCGGUAGAAAAUAAGUAAUUAGGAGAUACAAAAUAAGGUAGAAAUCUCCUAGGUUUUGUUUAAGCCACUGUAAAGCAAAAGAUGACUGUGGUUGAUGAUGUUUAAGGAAGUAACUUUUAUUUCUGACCUAGAUUGUAAGUUCUUGUGGCAGUUGCAUUGUUUCUGGGCUUUGGUUAUCUUUGCUUGUGUGACCGGAUAGCUCCCAGGGACUUCGGGUCUGUGUGACACGCCAGACUCGAGUUGGAGGUCUCCAGCUCUGCAGGACCGAGGGCUGCUCGUUUUCAUGCAUCCAUGGCUAGAGAAAGAGGCUGAGAAAGGACCAGACUUCCACCUGUGCGGACGGGGCUGGUUUGACUGGGACUGGUGCGGACUCAGGGCCAAGGCCAACCAUGCAAACAGCCUAAUCCAGGGGACUAGUUUUGCAUCAAGGACAUCUUUCUAUCGGCGGGAUAUCAGCAUGGAGUCAGCUGAAGAAGAUGGCGACUGAGGCCAAGCAGAUGUUGGAAAAGCAAGUGAAAGCUAUGCUAGCGUUGGUAAACUGCCAGUUUUCUGUGAAAUCUUGCGGAGCUAAAACUAAAGACUCUAAGAUCACCCUUGGCUGUGCUGGCGCGGCACAGAAACUUUCUACUAACUAGAGACCCCUUGGUGCAAAUUAUGCCUGACGUGUGAUAACAGCAGGAAGGAGGGGUUCUAAGUCCCCAGUAUGGACAAAACUGAUGGCACACAGUAAACCUAGCAAGCUCAGGGAGCCUGGCAUGGCAUGGGCAAUCUUAAAAACUCAGAAGCCAAAAGUAACCAUAUAGAAUGGUUUGAAGUUAAAACUUUCUAAGUAAAUGUUUGGACAUUUCUUACAACAACACCAAAAGCAAUUGACUCAUGUGAAGCAGGAGAAGGUUCCAUGGAGGGGUAUCAGCAUUUCCAGGGACUCAACUGACAGAAGACAGAUUUAUAAAAAAUGGAGAGCAUUCCCAGAACCCAGCAAUCUAGAGCUUUCCACUUGCUUUCCAGAACAGAAGAAAAUGCUAACCACCCUCAGCCUCCGAGCCUGGGCUCCCUGCAUAUCCCACCCCCGCCCCCUCGCCCAAGGCUGGCUGGCAUGCAAACUGGAAAGCCAUGUUCUGAGGUACGCCCCUGCCAUACUGAGCGUGUCCUCCCAAAAUGAGGCCCAAAACCUGGGUUCCACGGAGUUGAGUGAGCUCCACACUGAGGAGAACCUGUGCCCCAUUUCUAGGAGAGGCAGCAGGCGGGGCGGAGGCCACCCAAGAGGGCCCAGCAAGGGCAGUAGCCUCCCAGGCAGAUCCUGCCCCAGGCAGUGAGGGUGCGAGCAGGAGCCUUCUGUGCACAGGAAGCCCAGUCUGUGUCAGUGAGGUGAGGGGGGAGUAGGCAGUGGCUUUGUCCUUCCUACACUGGUCCCUCCCUCUUGUGUCCAGAGGCAGAGCAGCUAGCGGGCUGGUGGGCGUUGUGCCAGACCAGCCUAGGGUCGUCCAGGGGUGGGUGGGCAUGCAGAGCCCAGCACCUAGGUGACUUAGUUAGUGGCUCUUGAAGGGAAGCAACGGACAACAUGGCAGAGGCUGGGGGACAUGCUGAGAGCUCAGAAGAGUGGCUGCCUCAGCUGCGAGCAGAUGCUCAGGCCAUUCCCUCCGCGGCUGGCUCUGCUGCAGCUGUUCCAGGGGUGACCUGAGUCAGGACUUGGCUGCACACGGGGGAAUGUUUCAACCACGGCCUGUGCCCGUUCCCACGGAAACAUGGUCCCUCCUGGGCUCCUUUGCUGGGUCUGGAAAGCAGUGCUGUCCCGGCCAGCGCCCAGGCGGAGGUGCCCAUAGGAGGUGCGGGCAGGCAGCUCCCCCCACAGCCCCUGAGUCUCCUGCCUGGCACAUCCCACUCAGGCCACCUGCUGUAGGAGGAAGGGUCCUCAUGCCUACAGACUCCUCUCCGAUGCCAAGGGCAGGGCUCCUGGUGGCACAGGUGGCCCUACCCAGACCCAUCCUGCCCUGAGAGGAAGGAACAGCUCCUGGAGGGACCCUCACUCCCCACACAGGCCCCUCCUGGGGCAGCCAGGCCACUUGUCUGACCCUGAGCUCUGAGAACUGGAAGUGUUUAACUUGGUUCGAGGAGCCUUGAAAGCUUCAUUUAUUUAUAGCUUCUUGUUUCAAAACAGUGUUGACAAGAAAUCUUUGGUCAUUCAUACAAACGCUGAGUUGAUGGGAGACAAGUCAUAAUCUAAUUGUUUUUGUGGAGGGCGAGAGCGAAUGUUGUUGAUGAAAUAAACAUGAAAAGGAGAAAGAAAAAUAAAGUGCUCAAAGCUCAGGU
Molecule: long non-coding RNA, 3507 nt
Organism: Myotis lucifugus (little brown bat)
Lineage: Eukaryota; Metazoa; Chordata; Mammalia; Chiroptera; Vespertilionidae
Exons: 4
Source: RefSeq, a predicted model, not a curated record